Molecule: transfer RNA, 74 nt
Filed under: Streptococcus agalactiae CCUG 44077
Lineage: Bacteria; Bacillati; Bacillota; Bacilli; Lactobacillales; Streptococcaceae
Description: tRNA-Asn
Rfam family: tRNA
About the family: Transfer RNA (tRNA) molecules are approximately 80 nucleotides in length. Their secondary structure includes four short double-helical elements and three loops (D, anti-codon, and T loops).
Source: RNAcentral
UCCGGCAUAGCUCAGUUGGCAGUAGCGCAUGACUGUUAAUCAUGAUGUCGCAGGUUCGAGUCCUGCUGCCGGAG